This is a long non-coding RNA of Triticum aestivum (bread wheat), 950 nucleotides long. RefSeq lists it as uncharacterized. The record is from RefSeq and is a predicted model, not a curated record. Lineage: Eukaryota; Viridiplantae; Streptophyta; Magnoliopsida; Poales; Poaceae. The transcript is spliced from 5 exons.
GCCAGAGGCAGGCAACUGGAGCUUCUCCGUCUAAUUGUUAACUUGGUGGAAGCUAGCUGCUAUACUGAAAACCUAGAGUGGAGUGUCGUUGAUGAGCAGUUAGAAAGGAUGUACAACUUGUAGAUUCCAUUGCAGAGAAACAUGCAUAGAUUUUUUUCAGAAGAGUGCAAGUCUUUUCCUGCUACUGUCCAAAUACAACCAAUUUACCCCCUCCAAAUCAGGAGCUUGGAUGAUGUCAGGUUGAAUCUUGAGUUUCUCAAGUACUUGUGAUGAAUAGUUCAGUGAAAUGUACAAAUGGAUAACCUUGGAUGCAGUGGUGGAGCAUAGGCGGGACACUACUGCUCCUUGCCCCCACCUCCCUUCCUAGAGGAAAUUUUACCAAAUAUGCUUAUAUUUCUGCUAAUCGUUCUACUAACCCUCCAGUGUCUCUGAUCACCCUAGCCUUUUUAUGUCAUACACUCAUUUUGGCCCCUCCUAAUAUCUGGUUCAUGCUCCCCCACAGCUUGGAUUGUGAAGACUUGCUUAGUCCAUCCUUUUGCUUUGCUUACUAAUGAUGCCCCAAGAUGCAAAAUACUAAUUAUUUUUCUUUAUGUGUGUGCUACAUUUUAGAUGCAAUUGCUGAUCAACAUCUUUGGCUUCACGGUUAUUCAUGGAAACUGGAUGUGGCAAUGAAACAAAAGGAGUUGCACUGGUUGGGACUUGGGAGGCAUGGAUAGUUCAAGUACUAUCUGGGAUACUACUUACAUUGCUAAUAAGUUAACGUCUGGUCCUAAUACUAGGAUUCCCAGCUAUCUUAGUUUCAAGCCCUGUAUGCUUAUUUGAUUGAAGGUGGAAGUGGGACUCCUUUUGGUGCUUAAGUAAUAACUCAAUGAUAGCGGGAACUGGUUGAAUUAUCAAUAUACAUUUGGGCAUAGAGCAUGACGAUGUAUGAAACUUCUGAAGACUUUCAG